Molecule: unclassified non-coding RNA, 332 nt
Filed under: soil metagenome
Description: partial contains 5.8S ribosomal RNA, internal transcribed spacer 2, and large subunit ribosomal RNA
Rfam family: 5.8S ribosomal RNA (bases 1-120)
Source: RNAcentral
GAUGAAGAACGUAGCAAAAUGCGAUAAGUAAUGUGAAUUGCAGAAUUCAGUGAAUCAUCGAAUCUUUGAACGCACAUUGCGCCCGCCAGUAUUCUGGCGGGCAUGCCUGUUCGAGCGUCAUUUCAACCCUCAAGCACAGCUUGGUGUUGGGACUCGCGUUAAUUCGCGUUCCUCAAAUUGAUUGGCGGUCACGUCGAGCUUCCAUAGCGUAGUAGUAAAACCCUCGUUACUGGUAAUCGUCGCGGCCACGCCGUUAAACCCCAACUUCUGAAUGUUGACCUCGGAUCAGGUAGGAAUACCCGCUGAACUUAAGCAUAUCAAUAAGCGGACGA